Molecule: long non-coding RNA, 399 nt
Filed under: Hordeum vulgare
Lineage: Eukaryota; Viridiplantae; Streptophyta; Magnoliopsida; Poales; Poaceae
Description: long non-coding RNA (HVUL_LNC018105)
Source: RNAcentral
GAGCCGCGCGAACGCGAACGGGGCGAGGGAGUGGAGCAGGAAGAGCGCGGAGGCGGCCAGCGUGGGCAGCGCGAGGUGGUGCGCGGAGAGCAGCGCCGAGAGGAGGCAGAGCGCGGACAGCAGCGCGGCGAGGAUGUGACGGCCGUGCGGCGGCGCGGAGAGGCGGCGCGGGAGGAGCGGGAGGCGCGGCUGGAGCGCCUCCAGCGCCGCCAGGGCCAGGAGGCCCAGCCCGGCGCCCGAGUAGGCGAGGAGGCCCGGCAUGCGUGCCGGGUGCUUCGGCCGGCGAUGGAUCUGAGCUGGGGGGCGGGAGGGGGCGUGGCCCGGCUGGCGGCGACUGGUAGUUGGUAUUGGUAAGGGGUGAUCGGAUCGGCGCGGGAGUCAGCGGCGGUUGGGUUGGGU